RNAcentral lists this long non-coding RNA (2097 nucleotides) under Daucus carota (carrot). Its description in RNAcentral is "long non-coding RNA (DCAR_LNC004973)". The record is from RNAcentral. Lineage: Eukaryota; Viridiplantae; Streptophyta; Magnoliopsida; Apiales; Apiaceae.
AAUUGAGUAUUAUGGUAAGUGGUAAGUAAAUGUAUGGAAAUAUGUGAUACCUGCUAAGUGCUACGUGUUAAAUGUUAGAGUGUUAUUCUUGAUAGUAUAAUGUAUUAAUAUUGAAUUAUUUUCCGUUUUAAAGAUAAGCUGUUAGUUUCUUUCAAUCAUUAUGUGUUUAGGUGCCGCAUGUCUGGGCGGAUUAUUUAUCAUUAUGUGUUAGGUGCCGCAUGUCGGGGCGGGUACUUUUCUUAUGUGAUUUACUGCAUGUCGAGGCAGAUUUUCUUUAUAUUAGUAUUUUAUUUAGUUUAAAGAGCUUGAUUUGAUUGAUUUGAAAACAGGGGGAUAGUCCUAUUUACGAAUAGGUCAUGCCGAAUUUUCUGUAGAAGUAUUAACUUAAGUUACGCGUUCUCGUGUUAAAUAAUAUUCUGAGUUGGUUGUAAGUUGUAAAACUAUAACGUGUGCUACUUGUUAUGUGCUAUAUAAUGUGCCAUGUAUAUAUAUGUAUAUAUAUAUCACGAAAGGGUAGAAAUAGGAUAGUCGUUUCGGAAGGAUACUAAAUUAGUAUCUUUUUGCUUAUAAUAGGAUCGAGCAUUGAGGGCGUGAUACCAAGCAAAGGCAAGAAAAGGUGAGAGUUGUAUAGCGGUUCAGUAGUUACGGAUUGUUCGAGACGAGUAGAACCAGACGUUGGGGAUCAAGACUGAACUUAGAUAAGAUUCGUAUCAGGCUGCAGCAACCGCAUGAGCGCCAUAGCAGAGAAUCAGGAAUAGUUGAGGGUGAUGUCUUGAGAAAGCAGAAUAAGAUAAGGAUGUUAGCUAAGAGUGUAUAAGCUAAGGACCAAAGGCAAGUAUUCUCAUUUCUCUCUUAUAUAUUUGAAAGUGCAAGUAUUCCUACCUUUCUCUUAUAUUUGAAAGAUCAAGUAUACUCCUCUUUUAUCCAAAAGAAGUGUCCAUAUUCAUAUUUUAAAAUCUCUGCAAGUACUUCUGACCAUAUCUCUGGUGGUUCAGAUUAUAUAUUAAUAAAGUAGAGCAAGAAUGCAUCUCAAAUAUCAAAUGUUUUAAGUACGUAUUCCCCUGUUUCUAUGGAUUUCAAUAUCUUUUAAAAUGUGGUUUAGGGGAAUAGUAUCUUGUGAUUAUCUAUCCCGAAUGAGAUUUUAAUUCUGAAAAUGUUUAGUGAUUAUCAUUGCUAAACUUUUGAUGUGUUGGAAAAUGUUUAGUGAUUAUCAUUGCUAAACCUGUGGUAUAAUUCUUUGAGACAUGGUAUUGAUUCAUGAAUAUCAUGUAAUGGUUUUGAAAAUGGGAUAGAUACAAAUCAAAUUGGAAACUGGAAAUGGAUCAGAUAUCUCUAUUUGGAGCUGCGUAAGAGGUUCCGUUAUUUGAUAACGACCCAGCAUGUGGUUGCGUAAGAGGCUAAGUCGGGGUGGUGCACAUUGUUAAACCCCCUAGUCCAGCGUGCUAAAGACCUAGCUAGUCUUUAGGUUCCGGAACAUUUAUUCGUGAUGGCCUCGUCGCCGUCCGGUGUUGAUAGACUGAUCAGCUAUCUUCACCUGUUAGCGUCCGAAUAUAUCUGAUAAUUCGUUUUGAGAUUCAAUUCUCUUAUAGCAUGCCAGAGAAAAAUUCUGAGCUUAAAAAUGAUAUGAUCUCUUAUGUUUUAAAAGCAUGCUAGUUAAAGGUGAUUUCCAGUUUUAUAUCAAAUGAUGACUUAAGGCUUUAUACUCAAAGCAUACAUGAUUUUUAUGUCAAAUGAUGGUUUACUGCUUUAUAUUCAAAGCAUGCAUGAUUUCUAUACUCUUGCUCUUAUAAAAUGUUUUUCGAUUAUAUCUCUCGUUUAUUCAAGUUGGCACUGCUGAGCGAUUCAUAGCUCAACCUUGCAAAUUAUCUUUAUACAAACUAUUUUACUACUAGAACUUGCUGAGCAUUUUAGCUCAUUCUUGCUUUUCAAUUCUAAACCUUUCAGCUAAGGACAGAGAUGAAUUACUGAUUAGGCUGCGCUUGAGAGUGAUGCUAAGCUGCAAGGAUUGCAAGUGGUUAAGUUAUACAUCAGAGAUCAGGUUGGGUGUUUUCUGAUUUCAAUACUGUAACCUGGAUGCGAUCCUGUUUUUAGGGGGUU